Molecule: ribosomal RNA, 497 nt
Filed under: uncultured bacterium
Lineage: Bacteria
Description: partial 16S ribosomal RNA
Rfam family: Bacterial small subunit ribosomal RNA
Source: RNAcentral
GAUGAACGCUGGCGGCGUGCCUAAUACAUGCAAGUCGAGCGAACGGACGAGAAGCUUGCUUCUCUGAUGUUAGCGGCGGACGGGUGAGUAACACGUGGAUAACCUACCUAUAAGACUUGGAUAACUUCGGGAAACCGGAGCUAAUACCGGGUAAUAUUUUGAACCGCAUGGUUCAAAAGUGAAAGACGGUCUUGCUGUCACUUAUAGAUGGAUCCGCGCUGCAUUAGCUAGUUGGUAAGGUAACGGCUUACCAAGGCAACGAAGCAUAGCCGACCUGAGAGGGUGAUCGGCCAGACUGGAACUGAGACACGGUCCAGACUCCUACGGGAGGAAGCAGUAGGGAAUCUUCCGCAAUGGGCGAAAGCCUGACGGAGCAACGCCGCGUGAGUGAUGAAGGUCUUCGGAUCGUAAAACUCUGUUAGUAGGGAAGAACAUAUGUGUAAGUAACUGUGCACAUCUUGACGGUACCUAAUCAGAAAGCCACGGCUAACUACGUG